GCUUCCUUGGCUCAGUUGGUAGAGCGUUGGUCUCAUAUUUAUAUGAGUGGUCUAUGAUUACGUAAUCCAAAGGUCGAGAGUUCGAGCCUCUCAGGGAGCA
Ceratobasidium sp. 395 is the source of this 100-nucleotide non-coding RNA. The record is from the annotation of a GenBank genome assembly. NCBI's taxonomy places the organism in Eukaryota, Fungi, Basidiomycota, Agaricomycetes, Cantharellales, Ceratobasidiaceae.